This 374-nucleotide ribosomal RNA is filed under the name Vibrio sp. RNAcentral's name for it is "bacterial SSU rRNA". It matches the Rfam family "Bacterial small subunit ribosomal RNA", at positions 960 to 1333 of the family's 1533-position model. The record is from RNAcentral. Lineage: Bacteria; Pseudomonadati; Pseudomonadota; Gammaproteobacteria; Vibrionales; Vibrionaceae.
CGCGAAGAACCUUACCUACUCUUGACAUCCAGAGAAKCCAGCGGAGACGCAGGUGUGCCUUCGGGAGCUCUGAGACAGGUGCUGCAUGGCUGUCGUCAGCUCGUGUUGUGAAAUGUUGGGUUAAGUCCCGCAACGAGCGCAACCCUUAUCCUUGUUUGCCAGCACGUAAUGGUGGGAACUCCAGGGAGACUGCCGGUGAUAAACCGGAGGAAGGUGGGGACGACGUCAAGUCAUCAUGGCCCUUACGAGUAGGGCUACACACGUGCUACAAUGGCGCAUACAGAGGGCGGCCAACUUGCGAAAGUGAGCGAAUCCCAAAAAGUKMGUMGUAGUCCGGAUUGGAGUCUGCAACUCGACUCCAUGAAGUCGGAWUC